CCAAUAGCGUAUAUUAAAGUUGUUGCAGUUAAAAAGCUCGUAGUUGAACUUCGGGGUUUACCCAUUGGUCAGGCUUAAUUGUCUGUACUGGUGAGAUGAAUCUCUACCUUCUGAGGAACUUUCAUGCCAUUUAUUUGGUGUGAUGGGAAAUCAGGACUGUUACUUUGAAAAAAUUAGAGUGUUUAAAGCAGGCUAACGUCUGAAUACAUUAGCAUGGAAUAAUGAAAUAGGACGGACUGAUUCUAUUUCGUUGGUUUCUAGGAUCACCGUAAUGAUUAAUAGGGAUAGUUGGGGGCAUUAGUAUUCAAUUGUCAGGGGUGAAAUUCUUGGAUUUAUUGAAGACUAACUACUGCGAAAGCAUUUGCCAAGGAUGUUUUCAUUAAUCAAGAACGAAAGUUAGGGGAUCGAAGACGAUCAGAUACCGUCGUAGUCUUAACCAUAAACUAUGCCGACUAGGGAUCGGACGAAGUUAAUUUUAUAAUGACGCGUUCGGCACCUUACG
Molecule: ribosomal RNA, 502 nt
Filed under: uncultured Diversispora
Lineage: Eukaryota; Fungi; Glomeromycota; Glomeromycetes; Diversisporales; Diversisporaceae
Description: SSU rRNA
Rfam family: Eukaryotic small subunit ribosomal RNA
Source: RNAcentral